CCCUUAGAUGUUCUGGGCCGCACGCGCGUUACACUGAUGCAUUCAACGAGCUUAUAACCUUGGCCGAGAGGCCUGGGCAAUCUUGUUAACGUGCAUCGUGAUAGGGAUAGAUUAUUGAAAUUAUUAAUCUUGAACGAGGAAUUCCUAGUAAACGCAGAUCAUCAAUCUGCAUUGAUUGCGUCCCUGCCCUUUGUACACACCGCCCGUCGCACCUACCGAUUGGAUGGUCCGGUGAAGCCUCGGGAUUGUGGUUCUUGCCGCUUUAUUGUGGCGUGACCGCGAGAACUUGUCUAAACCUUAUCAUCUAGAGGAAGGUGAAGUCGUAACA
RNAcentral lists this ribosomal RNA (328 nucleotides) under uncultured eukaryote. RNAcentral describes it as "partial 18S ribosomal RNA". It matches the Rfam family "Eukaryotic small subunit ribosomal RNA", at positions 1470 to 1796 of the family's 1831-position model. The record is from RNAcentral.